UACCAGCACCCCGAGUGGUCGGGACGUUUAUUGGGCCUAAAGCAUCCGUAGCCGGUUCUGCAAGUCUUCCGUUAAAUCCACCUGCUUAACAGAUGGGCCGCGGAAGACACUAUAGAGCUAGGAGGCGGGAGAGGCAAGCGGUACUCGAUGGGUAGGGGUAAAAUCCGUUGAUCCAUUGAAGACCACCAGUGGCGAAGGCGGCUUGCCAGAACGCGCUUGACGGUGAGGGAUGAAAGCUGGGGGAGCAAACCGG
Molecule: ribosomal RNA, 253 nt
Filed under: uncultured bacterium
Lineage: Bacteria
Description: partial 16S ribosomal RNA
Rfam family: Archaeal small subunit ribosomal RNA
Source: RNAcentral